This 253-nucleotide ribosomal RNA is filed under the name uncultured bacterium. RNAcentral's name for it is "partial 16S ribosomal RNA". It matches the Rfam family "Bacterial small subunit ribosomal RNA", at positions 524 to 776 of the family's 1533-position model. The record is from RNAcentral.
UACGUAGGCAGCGAGCGUUGUUCGGAGUUACUGGGCGUAAAGGGUGCGUAGGCGGGUGUUUAAGUUUGGGGUGAAAUCUCCCGGCUCAACUGGGAGGGUGCGCCGAAUACUGAAUGACUAGAGUGCGGGAGAGGAUAGUGGAAUUCCUGGUGUAGCGGUGAAAUGCGUAGAUAUCAGGAGGAACACCGGUGGUGUAGACGGCUAUCUGGACCGUAACUGACGCUGAGGCACGAAAGCGUGGGUAGCAAACAGG